AUUGAACGCUGGCGGCAGGCCUAACACAUGCAAGUCGGGCGAACGGCGGACGGGUGAGUAAUGUAUGGGGAUCUGCAUGAUGUAGGGGUAUAACUACUGGAAACGGUAGCUAAUACCGCAUACCAUCAAAUGAACCCAUAUGGGAUGAGCUGGUGGGUGAGGUAACGGCUCACCUAGGCGACGAUCCCUAGCUGGUCUGAGAGGAUGAUAAGCCACACUGGGACUGAGACACGGCCCAGACUCCUACGGGAUGCAGCAGUGGUGAAUAUUGCGCAAUGGGCGAAAGCCUGAUGGAGCAAUGCCGCGUGUAUGAAGAAGGCUUUCGGGUUGUAAAGUACUUUCAGUAGGGAAGCGUUACCGAAAGAAGAAGCACCGGCUAACUACGUGCCAGCAGCCGCGGUAAUUC
Molecule: ribosomal RNA, 406 nt
Filed under: uncultured bacterium
Lineage: Bacteria
Description: partial 16S ribosomal RNA
Rfam family: Bacterial small subunit ribosomal RNA
Source: RNAcentral